This 757-nucleotide non-coding RNA is filed under the name Papilio bianor (Chinese peacock). Lineage: Eukaryota; Metazoa; Arthropoda; Insecta; Lepidoptera; Papilionidae. The record is from RNAcentral.
UAAAGUUUAAUUUAAGUCUAUUUUACAUAUAAAUUUUAGUAUAUAUUUUUAAUUUAUUUUAAAAAUUUUUAAAAAUUAAUUUAAUAGUAAUUAAUAUUAAAAAUUUAAGAAAUUAAGAUUUAGUAAUAUAAAAAUUAAUAACUAAUUUUGUGCCAGCAGUUGCGGUUAUACAAAAAUUAAAUUAAAUUAUUUCAGUAUAUAAUAAAUAAAAUAAAAUAAAAUAAAUAUUAAAUUAUUAGGUAAAAUUUUAAUUUAAUUAAAUUUUAAAUUAAUUUUAUGAUUUAAUAAAUUUUAUAAUAAACUAGGAUUAGAUACCCUAUUAUUAAAAAUUUAAUUUAUAAUACUAAAAUAGUAGAUAAAAAAUAUUGAAACUUAAAUAAUAUGGCGGUAUUUUAGUUCAUUUAGAGGAAUCUGUCUAAUAAUUGAUAAUCCACGAAUAAAUUUACUUAAUUUAAAAUUUUAUAUAUCGUUGUUAAAAAAAUAUUUUAUAAUAAAAAUAAUAUUUAAAAAUUAAAAUAAAAAAUUAAUUCAGAUCAAGAUGUAGAAUAUAAUUAAGAAUAUGAUGGAUUACAAUAAAAUAAUUUAAUAUGAAUAAUUUAAUUUUAAAAUUAAUUUGAAAGUGGAUUUAAAUGUAAUUUUAAUUAAUUUAUUAAAAUGAUUAAAAAUUGAAAUAUGUACAUAUUGCCCGUCACUUUCAUUUGAAAAUUGGAAUAAGUCGUAACAAAGUAGAGGUACUGGAAAGUGUUUCUAGAAUGAA